GUGAAUUUGAAUUUACACAUAACAUUAAUGUGGAAUAUAUAUUAAUUUAAAAUUACUCAAAUAACAAAAUCACACAAAAAAAAAUCCUAAUAUCACUUAGAAUUAGAAAAAAAAUCCCUAAGAAUAUGUUGUCUUCUUCUUCAACAGAAAUCGGUUGUCUUCUUCACCCCCAUCCUAGUCUCGCUGCCAUCCAUCAUAUCGGCCGCCACCCAUCUCGUCGUCGGGUCGAUGUGGGUCGUCGGCACCCACCGCCGCCUGUCUUCUAUCACGCCUCCAAUCCUGUGUCUUCCAUCGCGCCGCCAACCGUUGGUCUUCAUUCUCGCCACGCACCCGCUAUGGGCCGGCCAACUCCACCGCCGACGGCUGAAAUCGUCGAAGCUCUGCCGUCCUUUGCCCCCAAGCUCGAAAAUACAGAACUGAAUUGUCCCUGCAAAUCAUAGCUCGCCUCCUUGAAGGCGAGCCUUCCGCCCCUCACCCUCGCCCCAAGCUCGAAAAUACAGAACUGAAUUGUCCCUGCAAAUCAUAGCUCGCCUCCUUGAACGCGAGCCUUCCGCCCCUCACCCUCUCGUACGCUUCUGACAUCCCUUGAUUUUGUUACACCUCUUCACCUGAAGAUCAUCGCGAUUCUUGUCAAGGUUUUGCUUCUCUCUUUACAAAGAUAAUUGUACAUUAUUAUCUUUUGCUUCUCUCUCUAUAUAUGCGCUUAUAAGCCAAGCUAAUCAAAAUAAAAUUCACGAUUUUCAUCAAAAUCAUUUUUUACCACGAUUUUUAAAAUUGAAAUUAAAGGAUGACUGUUUGAGGUGUGAUGAUUUUACUGGGUGCGUGGCUGAAGAAUGAAAAAAAAAAGAAAAAUUAUGGGAAAGAUGAAAUUCGGGCAAAGUUCGUGAUAUUUGGUGUAAUAAAAAAAUGCAACUUUUUCAAUCACCGGAGUGAAACGUGUGUGGCGUGUGCCGGCGAGCCACAUCAACGCCACGUCUACUCCGAUUUGGGGGGAAAAAUAUCAUGGAAAAAAUGAACGACUAAUUCAAUCUUUGAUAAAAAAUGAUUUUUUUUUUUUAAAUUAUGGGGAAAAUGAAAUUCGGGCAAAGUUUGUGAUAUUUGGUGCAAUUAACCCAAACUGUAAAUCUACAUAAUUAAUUUGGCUUUAGAAGUUCGAACAGCGCAGCAUAAAAUGAGCUCUGAGACGAAGAAGCAGCCAAUCAAUGGAUCCGGGUCGGGUGGUUUUAGGGCUAAGUUAAAUUAUUAUCUUCAUAGUGGUGAGAAGAAGCAUGUUGCCGCUGGUAUCGCUAUAAUUGGAGUUAUCUUGGGUUUACCCUGGUACCUCACGGCCCGAGGGAUAAACCAUCGAUCUCAUCAAGAUUAUUUAGAAAGAGCCGAUAAAGCUAGAAGUGAAAAACUUUAUGCUGGUACGUCAACAAUUAGAUGAAGAGAAGGAGGUUCUCUUCACCGGCUUAUCUUCUUCUCCAAUCAAUUUUGGGUACCCUGCUUUCUCCUAUUUUUAUGAAGCAAUGUUCUUGAGUAAGGUCUUGAAGUCCUCAUUAUUGGGUGGGUGGAAGUGAUGUGUCCUGUUCUACUCUAUUGGAUGAUUAGCUUCCAAUGGAAAUUGCAAAUUGGUUUUCACUUUAAUAUACGCAUAUAAUUUAGUUAUUAAAUCACCCCCUCACUUUUACUUAUUUGACUAAUAUCUACUAAUCAUCUUGCUAAAGCCUCUACUCAGGACCAGGAUAGAGAAAAUUGUCUGUUGUACAAUACAUGAGAUGAGAUUCUCUUUUUUCUAAUGUCUUUUAACAUCGUGUUAUAUUUUAUUUUUUCAAUUUAAUCACCAAGUCCUACAUAUGUAGCAACAAUUGGUUGCAAAUUUGCAAUGUUACUGAAUUGAAACAAAGUUUUAACAUAGUAUUCAGCUAUUACUGUUAGUCUGAGUUUUAGCCCAUCAUUGUACUAGUUCUAAAUGCAGUUGCGAGAAAUAAUUAUUUUCUUACCAGGUCUACUUAUUUGUAUUUUCUAGCUUCCAUUUCUGAGGGAAGUAGUGUUUUUUAGCUUAGACACUUCUCCUACUGAUGAUGUAAUCCAAAAAAUUAUUGAUUGAAUUAGAAUUCGAAUUA
Salvia miltiorrhiza (redroot sage) is the source of this 2105-nucleotide long non-coding RNA. RefSeq lists it as uncharacterized. The transcript has 2 exons. The record is from RefSeq and is a predicted model, not a curated record. NCBI's taxonomy places the organism in Eukaryota, Viridiplantae, Streptophyta, Magnoliopsida, Lamiales, Lamiaceae.